This 225-nucleotide non-coding RNA is filed under the name Paenibacillus xerothermodurans. The record is from RNAcentral. Lineage: Bacteria; Bacillati; Bacillota; Bacilli; Caryophanales; Paenibacillaceae.
UGAAUAUCGUUGGAAACAGGUGCGGCAUGAGCGUAAGGCUCGUUCCGCUUAAUAGGGAAGCCGGUGAGAAACCGGCACGGACCCGCCACUGUAAUGAACACCGAUAACGUACGUAUCGGUACGUCCCGGCUAGAUGUAACGCCACUGGAGCUUUGGCCAAAGCUUUGGGAAGGCUGUCGGGAUGCUGUUCUAAGUCAGGAGACCUGCCUGUUUUAGCAACACUGU